Molecule: ribosomal RNA, 1206 nt
Filed under: metagenome
Description: bacterial SSU rRNA
Rfam family: Bacterial small subunit ribosomal RNA
Source: RNAcentral
UCAAAGGCGGGGUAACCUGCCGUCUAAGGAUGAGUCCGCGUCCCAUUAGCUUGUUGGUGAGGUAACGGCCCACCAAGGCUGCGAUGGGUAGCCGGCCUGAGAGGGCGAUCGGCCACACUGGGACUGAGAUACGGCCCAGACUCCUACGGGAGGCAGCAGUAGGGAAUAUUGUGCAAUGGACGAAAGUCUGACACAGCAACGCCGCGUGGGUGAUGAAGCUUCUUGGAGUGUAAAACCCUGUCAGUGGGGAAGAACCGUAUGGGGAGUAACUGCCCUGUACCUGACGGUACCCGCAGAGGAAGUCCCGGCUAACUCCGUGCCAGCAGCCGCGGUAAUACGGGGGGGACAAGCGUUGUUCGGAUUUACUGGGCGUAAAGGGCGCGUAGGCGGACCAUCAAGUCGGAUGUGAAACCCGGCGGCUUAACUGCCGGCCUGCAUACGAUACUGUUGGUCUUGAGUACAUGAGAGGAAAGCGGAAUUCCAGGUGUAGCGGUGAAAUGCGUAGAUAUCUGGAAGAACACCAGUAGCGAAGGCGCUUUCUGGCGUGAUACUGACGCUCAAGCGCGAAGGCUAGGGGAGCAAACAGGAUUAGAUACCCUGGUAGUCCUAGCGGUAAACGAUGGGUACUAGGUGUCGGAGGUAUUGACCCCUUCGGUGCCGCAGCAAACGCAUUAAGUACCCCGCCUGGGGAGUACGGUCGCAAGAUUGAAACUCAAAGGAAUUGACGGGGGCCCGCACAAGCGGUGGAGUAUGUGGUCUAAUUCGAGACAACGCGAAGAACCUUACCUGGGUUUGACAUGCUUGAGACCGCCGGUGAAAGUCGGCUUUCCCUUCGGGGACUCUUGCACAGGUGCUGCAUGGCUGUCGUCAGCUCGUGCCGUGAGGUGUUGGGUUAAGUCCCGCAACGAGCGCAACCCUUGUCCAUAGUUGCCAUCAGGUAACGCUGGGGACUCUAUGGAGACUGCCGGUGAUAAGCUGGAGGAAGGUGGGGAUGACGUCAAGUCCUCAUGGCCCUUACACCCAGGGCUACACACGUACUACAAUGGUCGGUACAGAAGGUCGCAAUACCGCGAGGUGGAGCUAAUCCUGAAAACCGGCCUCAGUUCAGAUUGGAGUCUGCAACUCGACUCCAUGAAGGAGGAAUCGCUAGUAAUCGCAGAUCAGCAGGCUGCGGUGAAUACGUUCCCGGGCCUUGUACACACCGCC